UACGUAGGGGGCAAGCGUUGUCCGGAAUCAUUGGGCGUAAAGCGCGUGUAGGCGGUUCGGUAAGUCUGCUGUGAAAGUCCAGGGCUCAACCCUGGGAUGCCGGUGGAUACUGGCGGACUAGAGUACGGAAGAGGCGAGUGGAAUUCCCGGUGUAGCGGUGAAAUGCGCAGAUAUCGGGAGGAACACCAAUUGCGAAGGCAGCUCGCUGGGACGUUACUGACGCUGAGACGCGAAAGCGUGGGGAGCAAACAGG
This 253-nucleotide ribosomal RNA is filed under the name uncultured bacterium. RNAcentral describes it as "partial 16S ribosomal RNA". It matches the Rfam family "Bacterial small subunit ribosomal RNA", at positions 524 to 776 of the family's 1533-position model. The record is from RNAcentral.